Molecule: long non-coding RNA, 18778 nt
Filed under: Solanum tuberosum (potato)
Lineage: Eukaryota; Viridiplantae; Streptophyta; Magnoliopsida; Solanales; Solanaceae
Description: long non-coding RNA (STUB_LNC005016)
Source: RNAcentral
UCUACCAAGGGUGACCCACGCCUGCAACAGACAGAAGAACUAGCAAUAAGCACUGGAAUAAAGUAGUGUACAUUCUAGUGAUAGUAGAAAUUGACCGUUCCCUAAGAACCAGAAGCUUGCAGUCAACUGCCUUUUAGUCUAAGCUUCAUUUUCCAAAGCUGUAAAUAGUUUGGAUUAUGGAAACGGAAUAGAAAAAGAGAGUGCCUUUUGCUUGAUCAUUCCAUCAAGCUCUCUAAGCUUAACUAUGCACGCAAGUAUGACCAGGAAGUUCAAAGUGCAAAGCUGCUUCUAUCAUGAGGUAGCUUGUCGGUACACCACUAAUUACCUAUCUUAACCUCUAAAGCCAGUAAUUUAUUACCAAGUGAAGACAUAGAAGCAUUGAAUUUGCCUAGUCUAGGGAAUAGAUGCAGGAAGAGGUAGAACAGAAAGGAAGUAACAUGCACAUUGGGGUGAACAAUUAAGGCUGAAAUCCAGAGGACUUUGCACAUGAAAACUAGCCCAUGACACUUAUAGCCAGUUGAAGUUUGACAAAUUAGUCUUAGAAGUAUUGAAACUGAAUAGAUCACAGAUAAAAAAUAUGUUACAUUGUUCAUCAGGAUCCCCCAUGAUAUUAAGCAAGGAUGGUGAGGGUUCCCAAUUAUUGCAGUGCACUAAGAGUUGCGUUUACAUCCCUAAAGCAGGUAUAUUAACAACAGGUGAAACAAUAGUAAAACUGAAUGAUCAACAGUUUCACACACCUCACCCCAGCUUGGUUCCAACUCAGUUGCACCUGCUCAAACAGGAAGCAGGUUUCAUAUGAGUCAUGAAAUAUAUCAUCUGAAGUUAUUUUAUACACAAACACAGAUCAAUGACUUAAGAGGGCAUUAGUGACCAUGAAAGUAGGCUAAAAUCCAUCUUUGAAUAUCUAUAUGCCAGAUAUAGAUUUACAAGUGGAAGAAUGUGUAAAAGAAAAAUCUUCCAAUGCCAAGGAAAAGAUAAGUAAAAAAUAAACUUCGUCUUGCUCUAGGUUCCCACAUUCGGCUGUUAUCAAGAUCAUAAUUGAAAUGAUAUAUUUGCCAGAUUUGUCCAUAACCUUAAAGAUGAGUCAAAAGUAGGCACUAAGAAGCUUCAGAGCAUAAAAGUAGGUGCAUUACCUUUCAUGAGAUAUAACAUUGAAAAUAAAUCCAAGUAAAAUAUGUUUGUGAAUUGACUCUCAGCAUAAUUUGCUCAGGAAAUGAGGAGAAUUUCAUUCGAAUUAAUGUGAGUGUCAAAACAUACGAGUAGCAGCUUGCAGCGCCUUCCAUGUUUCUCCAAGUUCAAGCAAAAUUUGAGCCUUCUGUUCAUGCAGAAUGGCACGAUCUGGCAUCAAAAGUAGAGCAGAUUCCCACUUUCCAAGUGCUUCACGAUAUUUCCCUUCCUUCAAAAAAAAGAAAAGAAAAGAAAAGAAAAGAGACUUAACCCCGGCUUCUGGAUCAUGCUGUUGGAAUUUGGAAAUGAUAUCAACAAUCAAUAAAGUGUUCGAAAUCACUCAUCCAAAAAAAAUAUUCCUCGAGGACUCAAUGAGGGUUUGAGUGACCAAAUGUGGUAAGAGUCUCACACCCUUAUCCAGAGAUAAAAAAGAUCCUUGCAACAUAGAUAUUGAGGUUUGCAAAAGAGGUCAUGUGUGCAUAGCCUCACUCUCUGAACCGCAACCAGGCCAUCUGCAAGAGAACUUCUGACAUCCAACUCACCUCAACAUAUACUGUUUUUAGAAAUAAACUGGUAAUGCAGUAUUCCUCAGCAUUUAGGAUAUGUUGGAGACCUCCAAAAAAGGUUCUCACCUCAACAUAUACUUACUUACCAAUGUGUUCUCUUGUUAGUGUAAUUUUUGGUACUAAAAAUCUGUAUAUAGCCUUAACUUUUUAUUCUAUGCGGAGGCUAUUUUAAGGCUUCUUUUCAACUUCAGAGCCACCAUAAAUAAAGUUAGCAUUGUGUUUAGCCUCAGCUAUCAGUAUUAAUGCAAAAUGUAGUACAACCUUACCUUUAUAAGCAACUGUAUUAAGUCUUACUUUCUGCAGUAGAUUUACCGUUGUGCUUAGCGUUGCCUUAAAGUAUCAUGCAAAAUAUACUUCAUAUUGAGGUCAUUUCACACUCAACUUACCAUCGCGCUAAAGCUCAUCUUUAAGAUAAGAGUAUGAAACAUCACUAAAUCCCCCUUCCUCCUCAAAAAAAUGUGUUAGUUAACAUGACAAGCAGCUGUGCAUAUUCUUACUUUCUACAAUACAAAGAAGCUAGUUUCAAGACUCAACUCUUCACUUCAGUUCAUCCUCUUACAGUUAACUUACAGCAACUUUGACGCCCGACAAGUGGUGGUGCAAACUGCAGUACAACCAUUUGGCAAAUAGCCUUCCUAUUCACAUAGCAAGGUAACUAUUUGAAAGACUGAACUUUUGACCUCCAACUCACAACUCCAAACUUUAAUGACACAAUUAAUUUCUAAGGGGUUGUUUGGUUUGCAAAUACGUUAACCCAGGAUUAUAAUAUAUAUACACUUCUUUUUGUAGAUGUUUGAUUCAUUGAGAGCAUAAUAUAAAACAUGGGAUUGAUUUUACAAUAGACAAACUUUUAUUAACAAUUUUAACCCUGGCACUCUUAAAAAACUUUGGGAAAGAGCUUUUGCGAAUAACAUUUUUGUCAUUUGAUUGCUUUGUCCCGAACAUCUAAUCCCUGGAUUGUUAUCUCGCAUCGAACGUCAUUUAAAAAUAAUACUAAAACGUGGUACAACUAAUCUGAGAAAUGCUUAUACCAAAAACAACCAAACAGGGGAUUAAAUAAUCCUGCAUUGAGUGCAUUCUAUCCCUGGAUUUUUUUUUUUUUUAUCCCAUGAGCCAAAUGACUCCUAAUAUUUUUUUUGGGUGUAAUAAGGUUUACAAAUCUGGAGUCAGGGCAUGCACCAGCCCUCAACAAAGAGUUACCCUGGGUUUAUAUAAUGCCCAACAAAAUGAAUUGUUGGCAGCAGGAAACGAUAUAGGCCUUUCAGGAGACAACAUGCGAUCCUUACCUAUAAAUCAUUUGUCUUGAUUAUCGUUACAUGUAAGAAGUUCAAUGAUCAAACACAAGAUGCUCGAUUUACCUCAAGAGACAUAAAUUGCUACAUUAAAAUAUUCACCUACUUACUUACAAUGACUUCUUCCUCCUAAGAGCUUACUGAAGCAAAAAGUAAUAUGUUGAAAUCUUAUUCAUCCCAAAAGAAGAGGAAACAAGGACAAACAUAUGGAAGAAAACAAGCUAUCUAGUUAAAUAUGUAAAUCCAAUACACGUCUAUCAAUAGAACAACUACUUUAAUUAAGUUCAGUAAUCAGAUGAAAUAAAAACCUCCCUAAUACUAACAACACGCCCAGCCUGCCUUAUUCUGGAGUUCCUUAGAAGAUAUAGAGUUACUACUGAUGUGAAGUAAGAAGAGGAAAAAGGAAGAAGAAAAGAGAAAGAGGAAGUGACAGAGAAAUAGAGAUUAAGAGAGACAAUGAUGGAAAGAAGGGAAUAAAAAGGUGGGACGACAAUGCACCCAAGGGUUGAGGAGCCAACAAAGACCAUGGUAUAUGCGGUUUUAAUGAAGCCGAGGCAAAAAGUUUGGUGAUUCCUUUCCAUUUGCUUAAACCUCGACGAACAACAUUAAUAUGUAUGAAUGUAGGGAUCAGUCCAAUACUCGAAAUGCAUGAACAUUAGUCCAGACACCACUAUUACCUCAGGCUAACCAUAAUACCAACUUAAUUCCUAAAUACUCAAGUAAAUGAAGGCUAAAUAAGAAUGAUAAACAACUUAGAACUAUUGAAAUUACUAAUACUCCUUUAGAACAACACUAGAAAAAACAUAACAUAAUCUUUUACUUUAUUUCCAACUAAUAAAUAUAGAUACUAAACAAUAUCAAGUGAUAACCAUACCAUCUAACAGCAAUUUGCUAAAACUAAUCAACAAUCUAUUUUUAAAAAAAAAAUUUAUGCUCAUAUAAUAGAAAGAACAAACAACAACUGUAAAUUAUACGCACUGAAUAACCUCAUACAGAUUGAAAAGGAGAAAAAUUAAAUAAAAUACAGAAAAAAGAAGAGAAACCCAUGUGAGGAAAUACCUCAGCAAGCUUAUUUCCUUGUUGUUGAAAGGACUCAACAAGCUUGAAUGUAUCGUUAUCAUCAUCUCCUUUAACAUUAGAAAUCUCUUCGUUUUUAGGAAGUUUUUCCUCGGGAAAAAUGGAAUCGUCAGUAGGAUCGAAAGGGAGGUUUUCGAAUUGGGAAAUAGGUCUCUUGUUAGGGUUCUUCUUGCUCUGAUUCUUCCAUGUCAUCUUCAUCUUCUUCUUCGAGCUGUUUCACUGUUUUGGUUACCACCUGAAUCAAAAGGUUAAUUUCAAACAACUUUUAUCUCUAUAGCAAAAAGACUCCCUCACUGAAACUUUGACAUAAUAAUUUAUGUUUAUGAGAUAACAUUAUUUCAUUCUAAUUUACCUGAUAUCUUUUUAAUUUCAAAAUUUAAACCAGUGUUAACUUUUUAAAAUUAUUAAUUAUUGUACCUAAAUUUAUGAUCGAAGUUAAAUUAUUUUACUUUGAAGAUUCAAAAGAAGAAGAUUUAUUUGGGGUCAAAUUAAAGGAAUGGAAUUUUAAAUAUUUAUCAUAUUAAAGAUAUGGAAUUUUAAUCAUUUUUAGGGAAACUUAAAAAGAUGUACUUUUUUCAUAUUUAAUUAACAAUUUUACCAAUUAUAUAACGUAUUUUUUUACCCAUUAUAAUAUAAAACUAUCAUGAUGGGUAGAUUUUAUCGUUUUUAUAGGUAAAAUUUAUAGAAAAACAAUAUGUGCUUGUUCAGAUUUUUAGAUUGGAAGCAAAAGUUUAUCAUAAAAAAUAAAGCUAUCAAUUUGAUGAGGGAAAAUGACCAAAAUAUCUUUACUUUUCAAUUUAAUGACAAAUAACCAGACAUAUAAAAAAAUAUCAAAAAGUAAUAGUUAAAGUUUGAUAUUUUUUAAAUUAAUAAAUAUUUGAUAUAUAUAAAUUAAAAUAUUGAGAAGUUGGUGAGAGUGUUUAAGCUUCGUGGUAGUUCAAUAAUUUUCAUCAACCAAAUUACUAUUUACUACUAUUACAUUGCAUUAUUGACGUUAAAAAGUAGUUCUUUGAAAUAUUUGUCAAUAAAUUCAUAUUACUUCAAUGACAAAUACAAUUUUGUGCUAUGUAUAUUUUUAAUGAAAAUUAUAAUUCACGCUCUUAAUUAUGGAUAUACAUCACACAUAUUUUCAAUUUAUUGACAUUAAUGUUUCAUAAGUUCAGUCAAUAACUAGAAGUAUUUAAAUUUUUUAUUAAGUGUAGUGUUCAAUUGGUAAAGUCAUGAAAAAAAAUGUCUAAUUAAUAAUCUGUGUCAAAUAUAAAAAUUUCUCAAAUCAUUCAGCUUAAUAAAAUAAAAAACAAGAUAACAGAACAAUAACAAUGACAAAGAGAUAUAUAUGCUUUUAAGAAACACAAAUAAUCCACAAAAAUUUACAAUGAAUUCCCUAUAUGCCUUACCUACACAAAAAAAAAAUAAAAAAAAAUAGACAAAACAAAAUAUCAAAACACGGUAAACGAAUUAAAAAUAAAAUUUAAGAAGAAUUGGCCCACACGCUUAUUACAUUAAUUAAAAAAUUUACGUAUUAUUUCUCUAAUACCAUCAAUACACAUUUUAAAACACAUUAAGCCUAAUAUUUGAGCUCGAGAUAUUUUUUCAUGUAAAAAUUAUGAUAGGGACAUUUUUGUUUUAUGAAAACUACGAUCUACAUAUAUAUAUAUAUANNNNNNNNNNNNNNNNNNNNNNNNNNNNNNNNNNNNNNNNNNNNNNNNNNNNNNNNNNNNNNNNNNNNNNNAUUCAUAAUCAAAAUAAAAUAUGUUGACCCUCAUACUAACUCUGCACCCCUUCACAUAAAUUGAAACAGAAAGAGUAGUACUGAAUAAAAUUACUCAGAUUUUAGCAACUAAUAAGAUUAUAAUUAUAAAUCAAUAGUUUCAUGGCCAUUAGCGCAACUCACACUUUUUAAUAACACAAGACUUAGAGAUAUAAAUAAAUACGAAUUACAAACACACACAUAAACACACACAAUCACACAUUCCAUGCACGAAAUAACAACAAUGUUCUCAAAAUGUUACAUGAGCCAACUUAGAAAUUGAUGAAGAAGUUACAUGAAAACAUUAAGAAGAAUACCAUAAACAAAGCCUAAACUCCUAUAAAUACCUAAACACAUGAACUCCUCAAAGCAUCACAAGUUAAAGCAACAAAGCAAUAAUACACUAUACUUCCUCAUAUUUAAUUAAUUAUUUUAUUUCUAAGAGAAGAGAUAUGGAGAAUAAUGGAAAGGGCAAAAUAGGCACAUCAAACAAUGGAAGCGUGUUUCCAAAGAAAGAUAAGAAGUCAGUGAAGAAAAAAGCAAUUGAAAAGAUAGGUAAAACUGUGGUGUCCACUUUCAAGAAUGAUAAGAAAAAGAUUAACCCCUCUGAUGGCACAUCUUAGUCCCCUUACUAUAAUCAACUUGCUUUUAAGAUUGUGCUAAUAUUAUUGAAUAAUGUAUUUAUUUGAUUCUGAUGUAUUUUGAGGGUUUAACUUAUAUACAUCUCCAGUAUUGUAAAGAUUAAUGUUUACAUUGGUUACCUUCUUUACUAUAUUGUUGAUGUAUAUAAGUUAAACUCAUUUAAUAAACUAUAUAUGAUGUAGUUUAUUUUUUUCUUAUGAGAGUGAUAUUUUCUUUGUUUAAUUAAAACCUUUAAGCAUGUUGUAAUAAGUUGUAACACGAGUUUUCGUUUCCGUUUGUUAAUUUCCCUCUUCAAUAGUGUAAUUUCAUUGUUAAUUUUUAAAUAUAAACUAAAGUGAAGUACUUGGAUUUUGAGAAAUCUUAAUAGCUCAAUUAGUUUUAAGAAAUUAUUAUUAUAUUGAUUAAUUUUACUUUGUUCAUAUUAAUUAGCUCUUGAACGUCGACUCCGACAGGAAGCUCACGAGAGGGAAAGAGAAGAAAAUAACCAAUGACAUUAUCCCAAGGCCCAAGCCAAAAGAAAUUCUUGGGUCUUUAAAGUUUGUUUAAACUUUCAACGACCAUACUAAUUAUAGGAGUAAAAUAAGAAAAAUUUAAUUAAUUCUAUCCUAAUUUAGUAAGUGAUCAAGUAAUAUGAGACAAAUAUUUUUAAUAAGAUGUUUAUUUAAUAUAAAAUGGAGGGAGUAUAUGUUUUCAAGAAACACAGAUAAUUAAUCCACAAAAUUUACAAUAAAUCCCCUUUACACCUUACAAACACAAAAAUACAAAACAAAAAUGAGAACACGAUAAAGGAAUUGAACACAACAAAUUUUGAGAAGAAUUGGCCCACACGCUUAUUACAUUAAAUAAAAUCCUUUUACGUAUUAUUUAGAGCAUGUGUUAUAAUAUAUUUCUUUGAGCUCGAGAUGUUUUUUCAUGUAAAUAUUAUGGUAGGGACAUUUUUUCGUUAUGUAAAUUACUAUCUACAUAUCUUAUUAUGAGUCAAAUUAAAUAGGAGUCAUCUUAAUUAAUCCACACACCCACAAAUUACCCACUCCUCCAAUACACACACACACAACCCAUGCAACAAUAUGAUUUUCUCAAACUUUAUUUUUUUUUGAAAAUAUUAGCAGUUAUGUUGACUCGUAGAACUUUUCGUGUAGUUUUUAAAUUUUAUUUUAAAAUAUUUGAAGAGUCUAUACCUGAAUUCUUAAUUAAAAAAAUUAAAGUUGCCUUGACCCUUGUGUUCUGAACAUCUUCACAUGCAUUGAGGGAGAAAGAAUUCUAAAUAAAAAUUACUUUGAUUUUAAAAACAAAUUUAGAUUGUAUUAAAAAAUUGUACGUAUAGUUUAGUGGUGCAUCAAUACGAACUCACACAUUUUAAUAACACAAGACUUGAGAUAAAAAUAAAUACAAAUUCCAAACACACACAAUCACACAUUCCAUGCAGGAAAUAGACAAUAAUGUUCUCUCAAUCUUACAUGAGGUAACUUAGAAAUUGAACAACAAAUUACUUGAAAACAUUAAGAAGAAUACCAUAAACAAAGCCUAAACUCCAAUAAAUACCUCAACAUAUGAACUUCUCUAAGCAACACAACUUAAAGCAACAAAGCAAUAUAUAAUACACUACACUUGCUCAUAUUCAUAAUUAUUUCUAAGAGGAGAUCAUAUGGAGAAUAAUGGAAAGGGCACAUCAAAGAAUAUUGGAAGUGUGUUCCCAAAGAAAGAUAAGAAGUCAGUGAAGAAAAUGGCUGUUGAAAAGAUUGGCAAAACUGUGGUGUCCACUUUCAAGAAUGAUAAGAAAAAAAUUAACCCAUCUGAUGGCACUUCUUCUUAGUAGUUAGUCCCAUAUCUAUAAUGAACUUGCCUUUGAGAUUAUGCUAAUAUUAUUGAAUAAAUUAAUAUUUAUUUGAUUCUGAAGUUUUCAAGGGUUUAACUUAUAUAUAUCGUCACUAAUAUAAAGAAUUACACUAUUUACCUGAUACUGUUGAUGUAUAUAAAUUAAAUUCAUUAGUGAGAUGGUGUAAUAUUUUGUUUUUCAAAGAGAGUGAUUUUUCCUUUAUUAAUUGACCUUCAAGAAUGCUAUAAACUAUAACAUGAAUCUUCGUUUCCGUUUGUUAGUUUUCUUCUUCUAUAGUGCUAUUCCGUUGUUAAUUUCUCAAUUUAAACUAAAGUGAAGUAUUGAAUUUCUGGGAGUCUUACUACAUACGUAUUCAAUUGAUUGAUUAUCUGAACUUUUACUUGAGGUUCGAUUUUCCGUCCUUAAUUAUAAUCCUUCCCAGCUCAUUUCUGUUGGGAAAGGCAAGCACAAAAUAAAUGUGCACGAUAGGGCAAUAGCGGAAAAAAAACCAAGUCCAAACUUUCCCUUCUAUUUGAACCAAGAGAAUACAAAAUAAUGCAAGAAAAACACCGUUUGGGGCAGCAGACCAAUCAACCAAGCAAGCAAAAUAAAUCAACAAACGAGACACCAAAUUUAACAUGGAAAACCUCUUCGGUGUGAAGGGUAAAAAUCACAAGGCCAAAGCUCCACUAAAAUCAACAAGAGUUACAAAAGUGUUCUCCAAAAUGGCCACCAACAAAGUGCCAAACAAUGAGCAACACAACUACAAGAUAACACCAAAAACUAGAGAAAUAAAAGGAGCAAAAACCCCAAAUACGCAACUACUAUUCACGAGCAAAAAUCUAGAGCUACAGGAAUCCAAACCACUCUCUCAGUUCCCAUUCAAAGAUUAAGUUGAAAGGAACAAGCUGUCCUAAAAUCAGCUCAAUCGGAUAAGAAACAAAACGGGAAUCACAAUUUGAAAUUGACUGCUAGGGCUUGUGCGAAAAUCUACACUCUCUCACUUUUCUCUCUAUAUGGCUGCUCUCAAUCUCUUGUGAUAUUUCAAAAUAAGACCUAAAAAGAAAAUCUUACAUAUGCACCAUAAUAUUGGGCUUAUGGGCAAAAGUGAGUUAGUCAAUUUGGUCUAAAUUUAUCCACAAAGGAAAGAAAGAAAAUCCAAAACCUUGGACUUUUAUUUAUCCACAUAAGAAGGAAAAAAGACCCAAAACCCAACAAUUUCUCCUUCAUCAUUCCCUAUCCUCGUUAUUUUUUAUUUUUAAAAAGAGUACUCGAAUUAUUAUUUUAAUAUGAGGUGAGCAUUUUAAAGAUAAAUAUUGAAAUCACUAUAUCCUAUAACACUGAAGGGUCUCCCUGUCACCGCGAGGAAAUGUUGAGGCAACAAACUCAAAAUGUCUAAAUGAUAUGACAUCAAACUAGGACCCCGACCAGUCUUAACAUAGACUCGAACACGUGUCACCACCCCGACUUGACCCCAAUACCAACCCGAGACACGAUCCUAGCCCCAAUCCUCUAUACUGACUCCAUCCCACCGUAGAACUUGAUUCUCAACUCGACCCUAGCCUAACUCUAGCCCAGGAUUUGAACACCGACCUCAGCCACGACCUGACACCCAAUGACGUUGAUGUUGAGACCUACCCCGAUCUUGAUCCCAGAUUGAAUCAAUCAUGAGAAAAUUGAAAAAUAUGUAAUUGCAUACCAAACACACCCGUUCUCUCAAUUUUACAUGAACUAACUUAGAAAUUCAACCAGAAAUUACAUAAACUGUUAAUUUUAGAAGGUAUUCUAUGUAUUAAUUAAGCAUAAAGUUUUCAAGCAAAAGGUAUAGACAUGAAAAAUUGAAGUUGAAAUUAAUAAUUUGAAUGCGCUUAUCCCUGAAUUUGCGAAAUUAUUAAAUCUUCUAUUACUUUCAUAUUAAUUUAUUUGUGCCAUUAAUAUAUAUUUUAAAACACAUCUAGCUAGCUGACUAUUGAGAUUUAAGAUACUUCUCUAGGUAAGAUUAUGAAAGGGACAUGCUUCCUAUACAAAAAAUUACUAUUUAUAUAUUUUCAAGGCAAAGCGCUAGUAAUGAAGAUAGUGAAAUUACAUGGAAAAAUAAAAUCAAUUUUCUCUUCAAUUGGUUAACUAUUCUUUUAAAAUAAACUGAACAUUUCCUAGAAAUGUAAAACAAAUUAAUUAGAAGUCAUCCUGAUUAAUCUACAAACCCACACAAACCUAUUACCCCAAUAACACACACAACCAUGCAAUAUAAAUAAAUAAACUAUAUAGAAAAUUAGUUUUCAGUAAUUUAAAUUAGCAUGAAAAUUAAUUUCCUAGCUCAUCCACUCACACAAUUUCUUAAUAACACACAUGAUCACUUCACAUUAAAAUUAACAAUCCGAAAGCACACACCCACAUAAACAUAUAUUCCAUGCAAGAAUUUUUAAAAUAAAAUAAUAAUUAGUUUUUGGUAAUUUAGCUUGAACAAUAUAACUACGUAGUUUCCUGGGCUCAACCACACAAACAAGACUUAAUUUCUUGGAUAGUCAUCUCAAGUUAUGAAAAUAACAUACUAUAACUUUUUAUUAUUAUUUGCACAACAAAAUCAUACAACAAUUUUUUUUUUACUCAAACCCCAAAAACCCACACUCACACAUUCCAUGCAAGAAAUAAUUAACAAUCUUCUUUUAAUCUUGCAUAAGCUAAUUACUCAGAAAUUCAACUACGAGUUACAUCAAAACUUUCAUGACCAUAAACAAAAGCGUCAAAACUCCUAUAAAUACCUCAACAUAUGCACUCCUCAAAACAUCACAAAUUAAAAGCAAACAAAGCAUUAAUACACUCCCUCGUAUUCAUAAGUUCUAAGAGGAGAUUAUUGAAGUACUGUGUCUGUGUGAUCAUUUCAUCUAAAAAUUUAAGUUGUUACAGAGAACGACACAGUUUUAUUUACUUAGUUAUACUAUAUUAUCAACAAAGAUAUGGAGAAUAAUGGAAAGGGCAAAGAAGGCACAUCAAAGAAUGGAAGUGUGUUUCCAAAGAAAGAUAAGAAAUCAGUGAAGGCAAUGGCUUUUGAAAAGAUUGGCAAAACUGUGGUGUCCACUUUCAAGAAUGAUAAGAAAAAAAUUAACCCCUCUGAUGGCACCUCCUCUUAGUCCCAAUGAACUUGUUUUUUUUUUUGGAUUGUGGUAAUAUUAUUGAAUAAAGUAUUUAUGUAAUUCAUAUGUAUUCCGAAAGUUUAAAUUAUAUACGUUGACAAUAUUGUAAAGAAUGUUUACAUGAUUUACCUGAUUCCUUAAGUACAAUACUGUUGAUGCAUGUAAGUUAAAUUCAUCAAUAAAUUAUUGUUUAGUAUUAUGUUAUUUUUGUGAUGUUAAUUAGCCUACAAGCUAAGGACGUUGUAUGUUGUUAUAGAGUCUCCAUUUUCGUUUAUUUAAUUUUCCUCCCCAAAAAUGUUACACCGUUGUUAAUUUAUUUUUUUUUAGGUUAAACUAAAGUGGACUACUCACAUUUUUAUUUUCAAAUAGGGUGAAAAUUUAAGGUAAAUAAUGAAAUCACAUUCUAUAAUGCCAAAGGAAACACUUACACACGAUAAAAAAUUUUUGGUUAUCUUAUCGAUACUUGUAUUUCAUACGCAACAACGCAAUAUUAAGAAAUCAAUAUAUAUAAUAGCAAUGAAAAUUAUGAAUCUAGUAUGUAGUAACAAAAUUCAGGGGACAUCAAGCUGACAGACAUUUUUUAAAAUACAUCUAGCUAGUUAAUCGUCGAAAUUAAAGAUGAGUUGUAAUGUGAAUUGAGAAAUUGAAGAAAAUAAGUUAAGAGGAAAAUAAAGUUCAUUUCUUCUUUAUUGAUAGUACUGAAGAAGAGAUUUUUUGUGCUUUCAAAUAGAAAUACUUCUUUUAGCUAUUUAAAAAGAGAGACGAUUCAAAAUUACCUCCCUUUCCAACGUCACCUUCGCAUUUGUCGAUAGCUAUGACUUCGCCUUAUUUGACACAUUGAAAAACAUUUUUUUCUUAUUACUAAAAGCAGAAAGAAUUCUUAUAUUUCUUUCUUUUUUAUUUGCACAAGUUUUUCAAGUAAAAACAGUAAGUGUUAUAUGAUUUACUUCGUUUUUUGAAUUUCACUGAAGUUCUACAAUAUCAAUUACCAGUAUUGCUAAAUAGUGUUUUAUUUUAUUUUGGAAGAAAUUAUUCCAAAUCUUGGACAAGUAUAAAGAAAUUAAAUUCUUUAAGAAAAUGCAAUAUUCUGUAGGCUUGAAACUUUAUUUUUCGUUGAUUAUUUUCAUUUCUGUUUAUAUAUUUUGAUAGUAGAAAUAACAACUUUUUUUCAUGUAAGAUUAUGAUAGACAUACUUCCUUUACAAGAAAAAAAAAUAUAGAAUUUCUGGUAAUGAAGAUAGUAAAAUUACAUGGAAAAGUAAAAUCAAUUUUUUUUUUAUUGGUUAAGAUUUUUUUGAAAUAAACUAUUAUCAUAAGUAUUACGGAGUACUUGAACAUUUCCUAGAAAUGUAUGACAAUCACAUGAUUUUUUUAAAAAAAAUAAAAUAGUAGUCAUCAUAAUUAAUUUACAAACCCACACAAAUCCAUUACCCCUCCAACACACAGACGACAUUUUCAACAUUUUAAGUUAGCAUGAAAAAACUAAAUUCCUACUUUACUGGCUCAUCUACACAUAUGACUUCACAAAUAUUAAAAUGAACAAACCAAAACCACACAAAACACACAUUCCAUUUCAAGAAAAAAAUAAAAUAAAAAUUAGUUUUUGGUAAUUAUUUAACUUGAAAAAUUAAUAGGUAGUUUCCUUGGCUCAACUACACAAACAAGAGUUAAUUUCUUGGAUGGUCUUUUUAUUUGGACAACAAAAUCAUUCAACUAUAAUUUAUUUAUUUUUUUUACUUCAAAUUUUCAUUCUCUCUUUGUUAGCCUUAGAUAAAAAUAUCCAAAAACCCACACUCACACAUUAUACAUAAGCUAAUUACAUAGAAAUUCAACCAGAAUUACAUGAAAACUUUCAUGACAAAAUAAACAAAGGCCUCAAAACUCUUAUAAAUACCUCAACAUAUGAACUCCUCAAAUCAUCACAAGUUAAAGCAAUAAAGCAAUAAUACACUACAUUUCAUCAUAUUCAUAAUUAUUUCUAAGAGAAGAGAUAUGGAUAAUAAUGGAAAGGGCAAAAUAGGCACAUCAAAGAAUAAUGGAAGUGUGUUUCCAAAGAAAGAUAAGAAGUCAGUGACAACCAUGGCUGUUGAAAAGAUAGGCAAAACUAUGGUGUCCCCUUUCAAGAAUGAUAAGAAAAAGAUUAACCCAUCUAAUGCCACCUCCUCUUAGUCUUACUAUUUGGAUUGUGCUAAUAUUAUUGAAUAAAGUAGUUGUUUGAUUCUGAUGUAUUUCUAGGGUUUAACUUAUAUACAUUGAUAUUAUUGUAUAAAGAAUUGUGUUUAUAUGAUUUAACACUGAUUCUUUAUGGUACUGUUAAUGUAUAUAAGUUAAACUCAUUAAUAAAUUAUUGUGUAGUACUAUUAUGUUAUUUUUGUGAGGGUGAUAUUUCCUUUGUUAAUUAUCCUUCAAGACGUUGUAUGUUGUAAUAUUAGUCUCCGUUUUUGUUAUUAUUUUACUCUUUAAAUCGUGUUAUUGCGUUGUUAACUUCUUCUUUUUAAAUUAUUUUUUUUAAACAACAACUAACGUGGAGCACUCAAAUUUUGGAGAAUUUUUAGUAGCUAAGUUGAUUUGCUAUUUGAACUUUCACCUUUUCUGCGGGGAUGACAACGGGGCGAAUGUGGGGUGAGGUGAUUUUAAGGUUGUGCGGGACAUGUUAAAAUAUUUUUUUUUAAAACUAAUACGGGCAAGUUGCGGGUCUAUGCGGUUUUAUACGGGUUCAAACUUAAUUUAAACUUUUUACAUGUUAUAAGAGUGAUAGAGCACCUUUCACAAGUAAGAACUAAGAAUACACAAAAUGACAAAUUCAUUACUCCCUCCGUCCCAUUUUAUGUGAGGUAGUUUGACUCGGCACGGAGUUUAAGAAAGAAAGGAAGACUUUUAAAACUUGUGGUCCAAAAUGAAUGAUAGAAAUUUGUGUAGUUGUAAAUCAUUUCAUUAAGGGUAAAAUAGACAUUUUAUAGUUAAAUUGUUACUUAAUAUAGAAAAUGUGUUAUUCUUUUUGAGACUGGUUAAAAAAAAAGUAAGUCACAUAAAUUGGGACAGAGGGAGUAUUUUUUAUUCAAACUAUAAUAUCAAUUGAAAGUUUUCUUUUAAAAUUAAGUAAAAUAUUGAAGGUUGUAAAUGAAAAUAGUUCAAUCAAAACUAAUACAGUUUCUUACAUGUUUUUUAAUUGACCUCUAAAAAAAAUCAAGUUACUAUUUAUUAAGUUAAUACAACUUAAUGAGAGUAAUAAAUUUAUUUUUAUGAAUUUUAUUUUUUGUGUCAAACUUAAUCAAAAAGGAAAAGUAUUCUUUUUGAGACUGACUAAAAAAAAAAAGUAAGUCACAUAAAUUGGGACAAAGGGAGUAUUUUUUAUUUAAACUAUAAUAUCAAUUGAAAGUUUCUUUAAAUUAAGUAAAAUAUUGAAGAUUGUAAAUGAAAAUAGUUCAAUCAAAACUAAUACAGUUUCUUACAUGCUUUUUAAUUGACCUCUAAAAAAAAUCAAGUCACUAUUUAUUAAGUUAAUACAACUUAAUGAGAGUAAUAAAUUUAUUUUUAUGAAUUUUAUUUUUGUGUCAAACUUAAUCAAAAAGGAAAAGUAUUCUUUUUUAGACUGACUAAAAAUAAGUAAGUCACAUAAAUUGGGACAGAUGGAGUAUUUUUUAUUCAAACUAUAAUAUCAAUUGAAAGUUUCUUUAAAUUAAGUAAAAUAUUGAAGAUUGUAAAUAAAUAUAGUUCAAUCAAAACUAAUACAAUUUCUUACAUGCUUUUUAAUUGACCUCUAAAAAAAAUUAAGUCACUAGUUAUUAAGUUAAUACAAUUUAAUGAGAGUAAUACAUUUAUUUUUAUGAAUUUUAUUUUUUGUGUUAAACUUAAUCAAAAAAGAAAAGUAUUGAAACAAUUAUGCAUGCAGGUUUAUGCGGGGUAAGGUGGGUCGGAUUGAAAAAUAAAAAAAAUUGUCAUGCGAGGUAAGGCGGAGAGGAAAAUUUAUCGGACGUGGUAUACAAAGUAUAAAUUUAGAAAAAUAAACAAUUUUUUUAUUUCACUCUCUCAAAAAGAGAUGUGAGCCAUGGAAACAACGUGUGUUGAAUGGAUACAUUUUCAAUUAAUGAUGUCAUAUACGUAUUCAAGCAAUUUUAAUGUAUAGACAUGAAAAGUUGAAGUUGAAUCAACAAUUUUAGUGCUUAUCCUCAAAUUUCUGAAUAAUUAAAUCUAAUAUUAUUGACAUGAAUUUCUUUGUGCCAUUAAUAAAUCUUUAAAAUAUAUCUAGCUGAUUUGAGCUCUAAGAUAUUUUUCAUGUAAAAUUAUGAUAGGGACACAUUUCCCCUUCAAAAAAUAUAAAAAAAUUAUAUAUGAAAAUGAAGAUAGUGAAAACUGAAAUGACGCAGAAAAGUAAAAUUAAUUUACCAUUUGAUUAAUUCUGUAAAACUAAUAAGUUUGAAAGUUAAUAAAGCUUAAAUAUAAUGAAAUUCCCCUUCCAAAUCCUUAGUAGUGGUUAAAUAUUUUUUUAAAAAUUAGCUAAUAUCAUGAGUAAUAUGGAGUACUUCAUUUCCAAGAAAUGUAUAUAUAUAACUAUUUCAUAGGUCGUUAAUUGAAAUUAAUAAAUAGAAAAAACCAAAAUUAAUUCACGCAUCCACACACAAACCCACACAAACCCAUUCCCAUCCAAUCAAAAACACACAUAUAUACGCACACCCUAUGUAAUAAUAAAUUAUUAUGUUGAACAAUAGUUGUCCACUAUAUUAACUUAGCACAGAGAUUAAAAAGCAGUAAAUGAUAGGGUAAUUUUAUCAAAUCACCCUUAUUAAAUAUAAGCUAUCUAAACAUUGAAAAAUAAAUACAGUAUUUAAUAGCAAUGGUAAAAUAGACACAACAUGACAUUGAUUUUAUAAAUUGAACAAGUAUUGUUGGACAUCCCAAGAUUAUAUAGUGGACAAAUAAAAAUGGACGGAGAGAGUAAAAUAGGAGUAAUAUAUUUUCAAUUUUGAAUAACACACCGGCUUCCAUUUAAAACCCCCCAAAACUCACACAAACACAUAUUCCAUGCAAGAAAUAAUCAACAAUCUUCUUUUAAUCUUACAUAAGCUAAUUACUAAGAAAUUCAACUAAAGUUACAUGAAAACUUUCAUGACAUUAUAAACAAAGCCCUCAAAACUCUUAUAAAUACCUCAACAUAUGUACUCCUCAAAACAUCACAAGCUAAAAACAACAAAGCAUUAAUACACUCCCUCAUAUUCAUAAGUACUAAGAGAAGAGAUUGUUGAAGUACUGUGUGAUCAUUUCAUCUAAAAAUUUAAGUUGUUACAGAGAAUGACACAGUUUAAUUUACUUAGUUACAUAUAUUAUCAAUAAAGAUAUGGAGAAGAAUGGAAAGGGCAAAGAAGGCACAUCAAAGAAUGGAAGUGUGUUUCCAAAGAAAGAUAAGAAGUCAGUGAAGGCAAUGGCUAUUGAAAAGAUUGGCAAAACUGUGGUGUCCACUUUCAAGAAUGAUAAGAAAAAGAUUAACCCCUCUGAUGCCACCUCUUCUUCUUAGUCCCAAUGAACUUUUUUUUUUUUUGAACCCUCAACGUUGCCAUCCCCACAUCUGUUGCAUCGACUGUAUGGGUUGUUGUAUAUCAAGUUAUUAAAUAGGGAUCAACAUUAACUUGGCUUGUUGUAAAUCAAGUUACGCGCGGACGGCGGAGCUAUCAGUCUUAUUUUAUGUUGAUGCUUCACUUAACUCUACGCCAACAAGCAUUCAGACUGCUCCAUUUAAAAAGUAUAUUUUACACCUUUGAUCGUUCACCUCUAAGGUAAAAAAACAAAUCAGAUGCACUUUUUGAACGUAAAAAACGUCAUUCACUUGAUUUGCACACCAGAACGUGUAGAUAUAUAUACAUACAUACAUAUUACUACUCAGAAUAAUCAAACAAACAUAAGUAUGAAGUAACUCUAUGUUAGAGGCAAUAGAGGAUCAUCUAUAUUACAAGUAGACAUUUCAGUGCCCAGGCAUCAUGUUUUAUCAUUGUCAACCCUUCUGGCUAUUUUCUCUCCUCACUGAUAUGCACACCUACACCUCUUUCUAUAGCUGAACCAGCAUUUUGAAACCUUGACUCGAAGUCAAAUGUGACAAGAUAUUCCUUAGCCUCAGGAUUUUAUCGGAACAAAGCAUCAUCGGUAAUGAGAUUAACCCUACGUUUUCAAACCUUCAAGUGCUCUCAGUUUUGUCCACUACAGCAAAACGGUUUUGGUUCAUGCUCAAACCUGAUGUCUGUAACUGUUUUCUCCUCUGAAUAUGAUGCAAGGCAGCUUGUCGAUCAUUACGAGCCUCAGCAGAGUCUGGCUGCAAAACAAGUCCGAUUUAUGGUGCGUAAGUGGUUUACUGAACACGUGAGCAUCAAUUACGAAGGCAAUCAAUCUGACACACUUAGCACAAUAUUCCACUGAACAUUUCAGAACUAGGAUGUGAUAGAAGUAAGAUGAAUAGAGUUAGACAAUUGCUUAAAUCUCAAAAGACAGUUUGUCCUCCAGAUACAAAGGUAGUAAUAUUGACCUUUGGUAUUGGCGUAAUACAUUAAAAGCAAAGAAUAUCCAUUUACUCAUAAAGGAAACAUCUCAGUUAAAAAAGAUCCUCAGAAGAAGCAAGCGUGAGCAUUAGUUAUAAAUUUAAUCUAUACCUUGAUGGCUAGUGCUCUGUCUAAGCUUUCUAUAGCACUGUCAGGCUCACCAUAAUUCAGCUGUGCUCUACCAAGGGUGACCCACGCCUGCAACAGACAGAAGAACUAGCAAUAAGCACUGGAAUAAAGUAGUGUACAUUCUAGUGAUAGUAGAAAUUGACCGUUCCCUAAGAACCAGAAGCUUGCAGUCAACCGCCUUUUAGUCUAAGCUUCAUUUUCCAAAGCUGUAAAUAGUUUGGAUUAUGGAAACGGAAUAGAAAAAGAGAGUGCCUUUUGCUUGAUCAUUCCAUCAAGCUCUAAGCUUAACUAUGCACGCAAGUAUGACCAGGAAGUUCAAAGUGCAAAGCUGCUUCUAUCAUGAGGUAGCUUGUCGGUACACCACUAAUUACCUAUCUUAACCUCUAAAGCCAGUAAUUUAUUACCAAGUGAAGACAUAGAAGCAUUGAAUUUGCAUAGUCUAGGGAAUAGAUGCAGGAAGAGGUAGAACAAAAAGGAAGUAACAUGCACAUUGGGUGAACAAUUAAGGCUGAAAUCCAGAGGACUUUGCACAUGAAAACUAGCCCAUGACACUUAUAGCCAGUUGAAGUUUGACAAAUUAGUCUUAGAAGUAUUGAAACUGAAUAGAUCACAGAUAAAAAAUAUGUUGCGUUGUUCAUCAGGAUCCCCCAUGAUAUUAAGCAAGGAUGGUGAGGGUUCCCAA